GUUUUGUGCAUACCAAACAAUUGAGGGAGAUCAUUUGACAUGAAUUGUAUUUGUCAGGCCAUGAGAGCAGUAAUUAAUGACCGGAGAUAUGGUGCUCUAAAAUCCCUAUGUGAGCGGAAGCAAGCUUUUAAUGAGUAUCUGAGCCAAAAGAAAAAACUGGAAGCUGAAGAGAGGCGUGUUAAACAGAAAAAGGCUCGGGAAGAUUUCAGGAUAAUGUUAGAAGAUUGCAAGGAGCUGUCACCAUCGUCAAGAUGGAG
This is a long non-coding RNA of Capsicum annuum, 257 nucleotides long. RefSeq lists it as uncharacterized. NCBI's taxonomy places the organism in Eukaryota, Viridiplantae, Streptophyta, Magnoliopsida, Solanales, Solanaceae. The transcript is spliced from 3 exons. The record is from RefSeq and is a predicted model, not a curated record.